AAACCUCUUAGAACCCUUUGGUAGGCAUCAACACAAGUCCCAAGCAAUCUUCCAAAAAUGGUUUUGCUCCAUUGUAAGCUUAGAACGAGUCCUCCAUGCAUGUCCUUGUACCCUCAAUAUGACCAAAGCUUGAAUCUUCAUGUAUGGGCCUCGAAUGAUGUCAUCAAAAGCUAUGAUGGCCCUUUGGCUCAUAUCAUCCUCCCCUUCUUGAAAAGGAUUCAAGCUCGAAUCCACACCUUGCAAAACAUAAGAAAGGACAAACAAGCACAACAUCCUCAUGGCAUGAGGGUUAGGAUUAGUACAACAAAUAACAUCAUCAUGCCAAGAGGGUACACGCUUGAAAUAUAACCAUGAAUCCUUUGUUUUAGUCAUGAAAAGCUCAGUGAAAAUGUCACAAAGGAGAUGGCUAUGAAAAGUAUCAAGAGAUAAAGAAACCACAAAGGUCUUAAUGGUAUCACUAAAUCCAAAAGGUAAGACUACCUUUAUCUUAUGAACCAUAAGACACAAUUGUUUCAUUACCUCUUCAAGUGUACUCAUCAAAAGUGGUGCCACUAUUGGUCUUGAAGACCACCAAAUCCACAUAGCAUUGUCAUUCAAACAAGUGGACCAACCAACAAGUUCCCUACCUCUACAUAAUACAAAUCCAAAACUAGUAUGGAUGUCAUCAUAGGAAAAGAGGUAGAAUAGGAAGGAAUCAAGUGGAAAGGCAUCAUCCAAGGCGCUAUCAUCUAUAAGAAUGCCAUUUGGCCCAAAAGGUAUAGCACAUAAAGCAUACAAGGAUGGAUUUAAGGCACUUAAGCACAUAUGACCUGUUCCUUUCAAGUAAAGUAUCUAGGGAUGGCAAUGGUGCGGUGCGGUUGCGGUGCGGGUUUUUUCUAAACCCGCAAGUUUUAAAACCGCACCGCAUCACCUUUAAACCCUCAUAAACCCGCCCCACACUCAUACCCGCGCAUACCCGCACCGCCCUGCAUAGCUUAAAACCCGCACCGCCCCGCAUAGCUUAAAACCCGCCCCGCCCCGCACCCACACCGCCCCAUUGCCAUCCCUAAAAGUAUCAACUUGGCAUCCAUAAGUUGGGAAUCAUGCGACUUAAUCACAAGUGUGUCAAGCAAGGAUGUAUAUUUAGUAGCAUUACCUCAAGGAAACAAUUGACACCUUUGCCCGCGGGUUUUCAAGAAUGUCACUUUGCUUGUCAUGUAGACCAAGCAACAAGUUGGGUGUGCCAAGAUCAUCAUAUCCAAAAGCAACAAGUUGGGUGUGCCAAGAUCAUCAUAUCCACAUUUGGCACCGGGGUCAAAUGGAAAGAGCGACCAUAGACAUGGGUCUAGACAACACUCUUUUACCUCAUAGGCUUCACCCAAUCUUAAAAACACAUUCUCUACAAUAGCAUACACAUCAUCAAAAGCAAAUAGAGAGUUGAGAAAGGUAUUACUCAAGUCAACUUCAACUAAGGUGUCCUCAUGUAUGAACUCACUACUAGUUUCAAAAUCAUCACCAUGAGUACUCUCAACAAUAAGGUCACACAAAGUAGAAGAAGAAGUAAUUUCCAAGAAAUGGAAACUUUCUCUUUUUAUGGAAGAACCCUCAAGUAGACACACACCACAACCAAAAUCAAAGGGAUUAUUACUCAAGUCUUCACAAGAAGCAAGCAAUUUAUCUUCAUAGUCAUCAAACAUAGGUGGGGUAUCAUAGGAUCACAACCACAAUCAAUUUUCAAAGAACAGUCACUAUUGGGUUUUUUAAACAUUCAAUUAAAUCAAAGCUAUCAUCACCCAAUUGGCCAUUCCUUUCCAAGACUACACAUUCCUUAUCCUUAAGAGUACUCUCAUCUUUCAAAAAGAGAAUUCUAUCUUUAGGAGGAAUGUUGUCACACCAUAGUGGGUUUGUAUAGAGGCUAUAGCUCUCAAGACAAGCUAUACCUUCAACUUCAUUCUCACCACUAGGUUCAUUAGGAGUGAACUCAUCAUCUUCAAACAAGAUAUUGUCCUUAAAGAGAGAAGGAUGUAUUCAUGAAGAGGAUAUAGACCAUGCAAAUCCAUUCUCUAAAAGAACAUUAUAAAGAAAGAUGUUUCAAGCACAUGAUUAUCCCUAUGAGCAAAACCGAGAGUAGAACAUUCACUGGAGGUCAUGCUAAAGGGGUCACUUCUAUUUAUUUGAUCAAUAUUUUCAACAUCAUUACUCACUUGAGAUCCAUUAAACACAUCACACACAUCCUCAAGUGGUGGACAAAUUUCACACAUAAGUUGAUCAACACAAUUCCCACAAGAUGAUGUACUAUCAUUCAACACAUUGGCUUUAAUACUAGGUAGACAUAAAUUGAUCUUACAAGAAAAGUCAAUUUGGUCAUCAAUAGGAUCAACUAGUGUAUUCACAUUCACAAUAUGUGCAUCAUCAUCAAGGGGAAAAGCAUCAAUAGAUAAUGUAUUAUCAUUCAACACAAUGGCUUCAACACUAGGUGGACUUAAAUUGAUUUUACAAAGAAGAGUCAAUUCGAUCAUCAAUAGGAUCAACUAGUGUAUCCACACUCACAACAAGUACAUCAUCAACAAGAGGCAAAGAAUCAAUAGACUCACAAAUCGGUAAGCUACUACUCACACUCAAUGGGCUACUAGUCACACAAUUAUCAUUCACAUGCACAAAAGUGUAAGAGUUAGCUAUUUUAUCUAGAAAUUCGAGUAGAUUCUUCUUUUACGUGGUGUGAAGGUUUCCCACAUGCUUCGGCAGCAACUUCUCCUUGGCCUUGUGCUCCUCCGCUUGCCAUUUUUGUACUUACACAAAUGUCCUUAGAAAUAGAAGGACAAAUAUAGUUAGCACGGUUUGGUGGCAACCCCCUCACUUCACUCCACACAACCUCUCCUUUUUUCACUCUUGGAUUGCCACCUUGCACUCCCUUACUCCUCUCAAUCUUUUGUCUCUCAUAAUCAUUCGUCUUGGAGUAAGUGAUCACAUCUCUUUUCGGUUUGGGAAGAAUUGAGGUAAAGAGAUAAUUUCCCCAAUGGUCCACUACAACCUUAGGCCAAUUUAGCAUAUUUGGAACUCUAUGUUGUGCAAACCAAUCGGCACCCAAGCAUACAUGACCUGGUGUCAAGGGGAAGAUAUCGCACCAUACCUCCUCAUUGUAUUCAAAUUGGGUGAAGACAAUCCUCACUCUCUCGGUAACCUUAUAUCCAUCCAAGGAAUAUGGAAUUAGUAAAGGUUCUUGAAACAACCCCAAAUAGUAAACCAUGGGUGGCAUGAUGUAGUUUUUAUAACGCCAAUCAUCUAGCACAAGAAGGCAGCCCGGUACCCCAUAAAUGCUUACCUUUCCAGAGUGAAAACUUCUCCUAGGAUCAACAUUGUAGAGUUUAGGACAACCCAUGGGCACAUGAGUACCCCUCGGCCUUGGAGAUGUAUUCUCUUUUCUUCUAAUGGGACAACCUACACUUGCUAGUAUACCCAUUCACAUCACUUCGACCUUGAUAAGAUGUACUACAAGGUGAAGAAUAUGAAUCUUCAUGCUCCACACGUGCACUUUCACCAUGGCUCUCAUAAGCUUUGCGAAGGAAGGGGUUAUACCUUACACCAAUUCUAGGUUCGGAGUGGGAAGUGUAAGACUCCUCACAUGCCUCAACUUUAAUAUAAGAACCAUCACAAGGCCCUACAUCAUCUCCAUAUUCACCAUAAGCACUAGGAACUUCAUUCAUCUCAUUUUCUCCCUCUAAACCAUAACUCUUAAUUCUGCCUAUGUCUUGAUCAUGGCUAUAUUUAUAGCCUCAUAAUCUCCAACAUCAUCGUAGCUAUAAAAUCCCUCACUACAAUCAUAGUCUCCCAUGUUAUAGUCACAAUAAUCCGAGGCUACCAAGAUAUAUUUCCCUUACAUCACCUUGUACCUACAAAAUGAACAAACAAGAUUAGCAGUAAAAGCUCAUUGGAGCGGCGAAUAUUGAAAGUUGCUUAUACUCCGAUAGUCAAUAAGGUGUCAAUCAUUACUUAGCGGCCGGAAUAGAUUCUUGUUUGAUCGACUCAAGACACAAAACAGAAAAAUCUACUUACAAACUUGAAAUAAAGAAUUUCAAUGAAUCAAAACGAGAAAAGCACACAAAGAACGAAAACACGAAGAAAGGACUCAAAACUAAUUCUCAACCUAGUAGAUAGUUACUAGUUUGCCCAUUAGUGAUGGAAUCAACAAAAAUGCAACUAAGAAACAAGAAUAAAAACUAAGAAUCCAAAAAAUUGAGCUAAAAAUAUGGGUGUGCAAAGUGAUGACGUGGCGGCUUGUGAUUGGAUGAUAAUUUGUAAUUUUUUUUGUGUUCUUCACUUUGAUUUUCGGCCAAUCUUCAAUUCCAAGAGUGUAUAUUAAGUUUUGGGGGGAAAUUUCAAGUUUUUUGGAGCCUUUUCAAUCUUCAAAUAAUUUGAAUUGAAUUGGUCCCCCCUUGUACUUGCACUUGUACUUGAUUAUACCUUCCCUUUUGUUGUUUUCUUUCUUUUAGGUGACUAAGAAGGUGCUUGGAAAUUUCCUUAAACAAGUACUACAAUCUCUUUCCUUUUUUUUUUCAAGAUCAAACACCCACUUUUGAAUAUUCUUCCUCAACAAGAUAUGAAGAUGAUGAAGAACACUAAGAACAUUCUAGUGUUGACCAUAAGGCAAAUGACCUCCAAAUUUAAAUUUUCUUGAAGAUCUAAGGUCUUUUGCCAACCCAAACACAAAUAUCACAAAAUUAGUCCAAAAAUGUCACAACCACAAUAGCACAAAAUGUGACCCACCCUCAAAUAGCUUCAAACACAAGCUCAACAAUGGCGGAUGGUUCAAAACACCUCCGAUUUAGCUCAAAUUUUAGAUCUAUACUCUAUUAGUGCUAGGGAACAAGGAUCUAGCACUAGAAACUCACAAAACACACAAAAAUAAAGUAGAUCUAAGAUCUAAAAUUCUGCCCAAACACAAAAACGUGAUACACCUCUUUUUUUUUUUUCUUUUUUUUUUUUGGAUUUUUGGACACUUAUUCUAAUGUUAGGAACAAGGAUCUAAUAUUAGAAACACACAACACACAAAAUCAAGUCUCAAAAAUUGAAAACCCUAAAAAAACGUGAACAUUAACUUUUUUCUUUUUUCUUUUUUUUUUUUUUUUUUUUUUAAUUUUCAAGAUAGCAAUUCCAAGAUUGAUUUUGUUGGAACAAAAUCAAACCUUGCUCUUGAUACCAAAUGAUAUAAGAAUGACCUAAAGAAAUGAAGUCUAAGAGAAACAAGAUAACAAAAAAAUGUAAUAAAGUAAGAUAGAUAGCUUGACAUACGAGAUUACAAGAAAUAGGAACCAAACCGUGUAUCAAAUGAUAAGACCCCUAAGACCCACAAUAACAACGCCGAACUCUUACGGUGACCGCUAAGGAAAGCAACUCCACCUUACAACCACCGUUUCUAAGCAAAGAUCAAUAAUGGCUUUUCCAAGCCCUACUCUACUUGAUUUUUUCAAGCCCUACACUACACUCUCAAAGAGAGAAGAAAAUGUCUUUCAAUGACUCAAAUAUCCAUAAUCAACUAAUGAGAAAAUAAGCCUAAAGAGUCUAUUUAUAGCUUAUUACAUAAAGGACCAAAAUACCCUUAGUAAAAAGGGGCUCCUAUGGAGUGUAAAGAAAAGGCACAAAAAAGACUAAAACACCCUUAAUGAGUGUUUACACUCCAAGGCCGCCCCUCCAAUGCUCCAAAGUCGUGGUCCCUCCUUCAAGCUUCAAAACCCUUUGGUAGGCAUCAACACAAGUCCCAAGCAAUCUUCUAAACAUGGUUUUGCUCUAUUGUAAGCUCGAAACGAGUCCUCCAUGCAUGUCCUUUUACCCUCAAUAUGACCAAAGCUUGAAUCUUCAUGUAUGGGCCUCGAAUGAUGUCAUCAAAAGCUAUGAUGGCCCUUUGGCUCGUAUCAUCCUGCUUGAAAAAUAACACUUGCGCAGCGUUUUUAGUAAGUUUCAUGCCUUUGAAAUUUGUUGCGUUUUUUUUAGUAAAAAUAUCCUUUUUUGGAGAAGGGUAACUAGUGAAAAUAUCGUCUUAAUUAAGAUUUGGUUCAAACAUUACAUGCUUAAGGUAGUCUUU
This 6058-nucleotide long non-coding RNA is filed under the name Capsicum annuum. Its description in RNAcentral is "long non-coding RNA (CANN_LNC012871)". The record is from RNAcentral. Lineage: Eukaryota; Viridiplantae; Streptophyta; Magnoliopsida; Solanales; Solanaceae.